GGACUACCAGGGUUUCUAAUCCUGUUUGCUCCCCACGCUUUCGUGCCUGAGCGUCAGUAUUGGCCCAGGGGGCUGCCUUCGCCAUCGGUGUUCCUCCGCAUCUCUACGCAUUUCACUGCUACACGCGGAAUUCCACCCCCCUCUGCCAUACUCCAGCAAGCCAGUUUCCAAUGCCAUUCCCAGGUUGAGCCCGGGGCUUUCACAUCAGACUUAACUUACCGCCUGCGCACGCUUUACGCCCAGUAAUUCCGAUUAACGCUCGCACCCUACGUAUUACCGCGGCUGCUGGCAC
Molecule: ribosomal RNA, 292 nt
Filed under: uncultured bacterium
Lineage: Bacteria
Description: partial 16S ribosomal RNA
Source: RNAcentral